RNAcentral lists this transfer RNA (77 nucleotides) under Candidatus Heimdallarchaeota archaeon. RNAcentral describes it as "tRNA-Lys". It matches the Rfam family "tRNA". Rfam says of the family: Transfer RNA (tRNA) molecules are approximately 80 nucleotides in length. Their secondary structure includes four short double-helical elements and three loops (D, anti-codon, and T loops). Further hydrogen bonds mediate the characteristic L-shaped molecular structure. tRNAs have two regions of fundamental functional importance: the anti-codon, which is responsible for specific mRNA codon recognition, and the 3' end, to which the tRNAs corresponding amino acid is attached (by aminoacyl-tRNA synthetases). tRNAs cope with the degeneracy of the genetic code in two manners: having more than one tRNA (with a specific anti-codon) for a particular amino acid; and 'wobble' base-pairing, i.e. permitting non-standard base-pairing at the 3rd anti-codon position. Lineage: Archaea; Promethearchaeati; Candidatus Heimdallarchaeota. RNAcentral also lists the same sequence under 2 other names. The record is from RNAcentral.
AGGCGUGUAGCUCAGCUAGGUAGAGCACUUGGCUUUUAACUAAGUGGCCAGGGGUUCAAAUCCCCUCACGCCUGCCA